GCGCCCGUAGCUCAACUGGACAGAGCAACGGACUUCUAAUCCGUAGGUUGCGAGUUCGACUCUCGCCGGGCGUA
Molecule: transfer RNA, 74 nt
Filed under: Planctomycetaceae bacterium SCGC AG-212-D15
Lineage: Bacteria; Pseudomonadati; Planctomycetota; Planctomycetia; Planctomycetales; Planctomycetaceae
Rfam family: tRNA
About the family: Transfer RNA (tRNA) molecules are approximately 80 nucleotides in length. Their secondary structure includes four short double-helical elements and three loops (D, anti-codon, and T loops).
Source: Rfam by way of RNAcentral